AAACUUCGAAUGACGGGUGGGGUGUUGAAAAUCUCACCAUUAAAUGUUUUUUUCUACUUUUCAUUUACUUUCAGGUGAAUUCAUCGUCCGUUUACUGGAUUUGAUUGGUGCCAAAGGUGAAUUUAAACCGUUAUGCGACAUAGAAAUGACCGGCAUCUUCUUCCAGAAAAUUUAUAAGGAAUAAAACUUGGUUCGUCCUUGAAAUGUUGCGGUUGCUUCGUACUGUUUUUUAAUCUCUCCGCCCCUCUUUGGUGAUGUAAGAGGAAAAAAAGGUCGUCCACCCUUCAACGAUCGACGUAAUUUCUGGACGUGGUGUGGCCUCGAAUGAAUCGUUCACCUUGAUUCGACUCAGUCUACCAACUUCCACCGUGGGAGCCCAGUUGCUUGCUGGCAAGUUAUGGAAAUGACUAAAAGCAACGCGAGAAGAGGAAUUGGAUCGGUUUGAAACAACGUGAGUGUCUACGCCAUUGAUCCAAUGGAAUUAGGAGGAGUCUGCUCUACCCACGUUUUAAUGGCGGAGGAAGGAGGGGACUUACUACAUCACCAAGUAAAUCGACGACGCUGUUCGGCUGUAGUUUCUGCUUUCCUGUAAGAAUGAAACAAUCCAGUUGACUUCGGUAGAGUUUCUCCCAACUCUUCGCUGAUAUGAGGCCGGAUCGACAGUUGUAGGCCAAAAUGUGAAUUUCACCAACACCCAGUGACUUUCAAUUAGGAUGAGUCGGCAUGGAGUCGGUACAAUUGGUUAAUUAAGGACUAAUUAGGAAUUGACAAAUUUCAACAAGUUUUGACAUCUUCGAGGCAGAGGCCCUGAUGCCCACCCUAUUGGCAUUCCCACAUCUCUGACAUUGUUUGAAAACUUUGUAGGCUGAUUGCUUAAGGAGAUUUGGAUAGAUGUGAUUUGUGGUGUUAAAUCUUUGCCAGAGAAGAUACUACACCGUCCUGCAUGCUGAUUGUAUUUGAUGCUGUGCAAGCCCUAAUGGUUGAAGGAAGGCAACCUCAUUGAUGUUUGGCCACUGCUUAAUCUGAAAGGGACUGUUGUAUUUGUUCCUGUCAGAAAAUUUAUUGUAGUAAGUUGAAUGUUCAUCUUGAAAUGGUUGAAGAGAUCGAGUGGAGUCUACUCUUCAACAACAAGGGGAUUCAACAUCAUCGAGUUACAGAUUGAAGUUUUACAGCAGUAACUCGAGUUCAACAACAGUAAUAUAUAUUUUGUGCUAUGAUAUACAUUCUGUAUAAGUGAGAAAUGAAAUAUACAAAUUAUAAAUGA
This 1264-nucleotide long non-coding RNA is filed under the name Daphnia pulicaria. RNAcentral describes it as "uncharacterized LOC124350163, transcript variant X7". The record is from RNAcentral. Lineage: Eukaryota; Metazoa; Arthropoda; Branchiopoda; Diplostraca; Daphniidae.